Long non-coding RNA from Marmota monax (woodchuck), 1917 nucleotides. RefSeq lists it as uncharacterized. The record is from RefSeq and is a predicted model, not a curated record. The transcript is spliced from 3 exons. Lineage: Eukaryota; Metazoa; Chordata; Mammalia; Rodentia; Sciuridae.
GUCAGAGCAUGUCAUUCUGUGCUCCACAUCCUCCAGUGGUCUCCCAUCUUACUUGGAACAAUAGCCAGCAUAUGUGCUUCACGUCAGCAGUGAGAUCUGGAUCCUGCUCUUCUUUCAUCUCCUGCCCAUUCCCCUCCAUCACUCUAGUCUAACCAAACUGGCCUGCCUGCUGCUCCUGAAACUCCAAGCACUCUCUGCCUUGGGGCCUAAAAAUCACUGCCCCUCCAUGUGAAAUUCUCUUCUCACAGUUACCUUUAUGAUUCAUUCCCUUAUUUCUUCAGGUUUCUGUUUUAAUGUCAACUAUCAUCCUAUUAGUGAGGUCCCUCACUACCCCAUGUAAAAUAGCAACAUCAUACCCCAGGAUUCCAUAUUACCCUGAAGAGGCUCCAUCACUUCUGACAUAUAUAUUCUGCUUAUGCUCUGUCCUUUCAUACCAGACUGUAAACUCAGUGGGAGCAGGGACUUGGUAACUACUCUAUUGUCCCCUUGUAGGACAGUUCUUGGCAUAUAGUAGAGACUAAAUGUUCUGUUGAAUGAAUUUAGAUUUAUUUGGUAGACUUUUUAGUUUGGAUCUACUUAGUCUGUUUUCAUAAGACGUCCCUUCUUUCAAACUCCAACAUUUCUUAUUUAACCAAAUACCACUUGGGGAAAAAAGUCUCAGACUUCUCUCAAACUUGGUGGAUGAAUUAUAUGCACCCAAGGGACCAGCCUUGAAUUUUCCAGUUACCUCAGACAGCUAGGGAAUAGCUUGCCAUAAAGAAGCCUGUUGCAUUACAUCAUCUUUCCCCAUGUGUCUUCUUAUGAAUCAGAUUGCAGAAUCGUGGAUAAAAAUAAUUUAAUUCAGGUAGAAACUUCUAUACAUGAAGUUAUGUUGCAAAUCAAAAUUUCUAUAAGAUGCCUGGUUUUGGGUUAAUGACGUGGGCUUUAAGCACUACUAAUGGUAACAAUUCUUCUAGAAUUAUUUAAAGUUUGUGUGGGUGGCAGUUGGGGAGGCUGUUCUUGGCCUGCACAAUAAGGAGCCUUAACCCAAUUUAAUUCAACUACCCUGCCAGCCAAAAGACCUGGAAAAGUAGGAGUGACCUACAGAGCUCAAGACUUCAAGGAGAGGAAAAAGGAAUUAAAGGAUUUAGAAUUGGUCUCCAUGUAAUGAAGUGCUUCAGAAAUCGUCUGUAAGUUGUGAGCAUUGGAGCAUCAACAAGAAGCCGCAUUAUGAUGUUAUACGCCCAGGAAUUCUGAAUUUCUGCACUAAUUCUUCCUGUCUGCAGUACUAUCAUCCACAUUAUAAUGGACUGUGAUAUAAUAACAUGAGCAAAUUUCCAGACAGCUUCUCGAAGGCCAAGUUUACUUACUCCUUUCUGAUUUCAUCACCUCCAUCAGACUGGGGGACAGAAAGCACUGAAGGCCAAUUUACUGAAGAAAAUUGAACACUUUGUUUGCUAUUACCCAAGGACUUGGGGAAAAAGUAUUUGUUGAUUUUCAGUGUCCAGAUGAACUGAGUCACAUAGAUUUUUCUCAGUCAGUAGCCAAACAGUUAUUCAGAUGACAACUUCCAAAGUAUGGAGUGCUCCAACCAGGGAGACUAUUUUUCAUUGCUUUUUGAGCUUAGGAAGAAUGUAGACAUCCAUUGUAAACCUUAUGUUUCCAAAAUCCCAAAUGUAGGAAAAAUAUGCAGACAUACAGAUAUAUAGGCUAAUUCUAAGUAACAAUAUGAAUAUAUUUAAAGUUUUUAAAACUUUGUAUUUUUUGUAAAAAUAUUUUUCUUUUACAAUUAUUUUCCUUUUUUAAAAUCAUUUUACCAAUAUAAUAUAUGGAGCCAAAGAAAACAAUAAUAGUAUUAAUAAAACCCCCUAAGAUUCCUUGUCAGAUUUAAUUCUACCCAAUGGCAAAUAGUUGUUUCAGUUGUGGUUUGAAAUAAAU